UAACGAAUAUUGGGCAAUGGGCGAAAGCCUGACCCAGCGACGCCGCGUGCGGGAGGAAGUCCCUCGGGAUGUAAACCGCUGUCAGGGUGAAGAAAGACCGCAAGGUUUGAUCUAACCCAGAGGAAGCAACGGCUAACUUCGUGCCAGCAGCCGCGGUAAUACGAAGGUUGCAAGCGUUGGUCGGAAUCACUGGGCUUAAAGCGUAUGUAGGCGGAUGAGUAAGCGUUUUGUGAAAUCCCCCGGCUUAACCGGGGAAUUGCUUGGCGAACUGCUCAUCUUGAGGCAAAUAGGGGUACAUGGAACUCUUGGUGGAGCGGUGGAAUGCGUAGAUAUCAAGAGGAACGCCAGCGGCGAAAGCGGUGUACUGGAUUUGUCCUGACGCUCAGAUACGAAAGCGUGGGGAGCAAACG
RNAcentral lists this ribosomal RNA (410 nucleotides) under uncultured prokaryote. Its description in RNAcentral is "bacterial SSU rRNA". It matches the Rfam family "Bacterial small subunit ribosomal RNA", at positions 355 to 774 of the family's 1533-position model. The record is from RNAcentral.